GAGGAGGGGCUGCCAAGAGCGGGCCGAGGGGAGAGCCAGGAGCUGGGGUUAGGCGGCGGCUGGCCGCAGCUGCUGGUUUUUCAGCAUCAUGUAAUUAAGUUCUGCAUAAAGCUGACGAGCACAUAAGGAAACCUAUAUCUGAUAAAAGUAUCACAUGAAAUGGAUGAAUUUGGAGGAACAUCUGGACAUGCAAGGAUAAGAUUAUGUAUAAACCAUCAGACUUUGGAUGUAUCUUGGUUAAAUUCUAGCCUACAAGAGACAUUAUUACCAGGAAAACCAUGGAAUAAGGUUUUAGACAAACUUGGAGCUGCUCUUGCUGAUGACAUGAAGCACCAACUAAGAAAUCCUAAACAAUGACAAAUGAUUUUCUGUCUUCUUGGCCAGCAUUUUGUUAAAAAAUAUUUUAAUGAGUGUCCUAAUCAACCUAGUCUACUAGUUAGUGAGUUAUGGGAGCUUUGAGCCUACAGCAGCAUAAUGUGAACAUGUACAGAUCUGUUUUUGUCAUAAAAGUAAAGUGGGUUAUUUUGUUCUCAGUUAUAAAUUGUAUUUUAAAUUUUUUCAGUAUACUUAAUUGAUCUGAAAUAAGAUUAAAAUGUUAUAUUUAAAAUGUUACCUUGUAUCUAACAGGCUUUCAAGUAUUUUUUCCUCCUCUCAGGAAACUUGAAAAGAAAACAAGAUAAUGGGUAUAUAUGAGGGUUUUCUCAAUUGGAG
Molecule: long non-coding RNA, 711 nt
Filed under: Gopherus agassizii (Agassiz's desert tortoise)
Lineage: Eukaryota; Metazoa; Chordata; Testudines; Testudinidae
Description: lncRNA (ENSGAGG00000003867.1)
Source: RNAcentral